ACGUUUCAAUCUUGCAUCUAAGGGUUUCAGCCAAAUCGUCUCUCUCUAAGAAACCUAAUCGACCUCAUCUUCAACGUUACUUCACUUCAUCUUCCUUCCCGUAACUGUGAAUCAUCAAUCAUCAUGAUGAGAGUAUACGAAUCGCUAAGGUAAUCAAUUGUAUUGAAUUGCACCAGCAAUCGUUCUCUUCUCCUCUCUAACAAAAGCAUCCCCAUCAUGAAGAUAACUCACGGUGUUCAGAUCUAGGGUUCCGGCUCUUCCCUGUCUUCUCCGAACUCAGGUUUCUUAAAGCACCUCCAACUCUCAUCAGCUUUCAGAAAUUUCAAGAGAUUUGGUGAAUCGGUGAUGCUUUUCCUCUUCGGGUCUCGAAUUGCAACCCUGUAAAGACAAAUUACAGGAGAACAAUGGUACUGAGGAUAUUAAUAACUGAUGAAGUGAUAUCUUGUGUGGGGAUUCAAUGAGAUUGCUGGACAUAAGGACCUUCUAGAGGGUGAUUCUUACUUAAAACAAAGAAUUAGAUUGCGAGAUUCGUCUAGCACAACCUUAAAUAUAUUUUAAGCUUAUACCCUAAAGCGAAUGUGUGACCCAAACCAUCAAGGGAGGUAGCAUGACUCUUUGGGAGCUUUAGUGUAUCAGACUUGAAGGUGUUGUGAAAAAGUGCAGUUUCUUAUGCUCUCAACCACCAACUGAGCCUUGAUGAUUUAACUUAAAUAAUUGAUGAGGAAAAUAUAAAAGUCACAAUGGAAGCUUUCUUGAAUGCUCUUCAUGAAGUUAUUCCUGCUUUUGGUGCUUCAACAGACGAACUUGAACGUUGCAGUGGUAAGACUGCAAUGGCAGCAACUGUUGGUAUUGGUAGCGAUUUCUCCUAUGUGAAGAUUGUAAGUUCUUCUAUAUUUUAACUAUGGGACAAUUCCAUGAUACCCUUCAAUACUUAUCAUAUACCUGUCUAACAAAAAGUUAUAAUAUCAAAUAUACUCAUUUUCGAAUUUGUGACAUUUAUGAUACUUGUGGCUGUGCUCGUUGAUGGAUGGAUGGACAUCAUCAUACUGGUUCUAAAAUUGGCAAGGUCGGAAACAGAAAUAAAUCAAGAGGAACCCUCAUGUUUAUUGUUUUGGUAUCAUAAUUUACUGAUCAUUUCUCUUUUUUUAUUUUACUUUACAAACAUUCAGUUGGUUUUUGACUUGUCAUUUUGUCGUGUGUAAAACGAUCCACGUCACAAGUA
Molecule: long non-coding RNA, 1222 nt
Organism: Helianthus annuus (common sunflower)
Lineage: Eukaryota; Viridiplantae; Streptophyta; Magnoliopsida; Asterales; Asteraceae
Exons: 5
Source: RefSeq, a predicted model, not a curated record